This 131-nucleotide non-coding RNA is filed under the name Bacillus sp. (in: firmicutes). RNAcentral describes it as "Bacillus sp. FMN sequence". It matches the Rfam family "FMN riboswitch aptamer (RFN element)". Rfam says of the family: The RFN element is a highly conserved domain that is found frequently in the 5'-untranslated regions of prokaryotic mRNAs that encode for flavin mononucleotide (FMN) biosynthesis and transport proteins. Lineage: Bacteria; Bacillati; Bacillota; Bacilli; Caryophanales; Bacillaceae. The record is from RNAcentral. RNAcentral also lists the same sequence under 1 other name.
GCAGUCCUUCGGGGUCGGGUGAGAAUCCCAACCGGCGGUGAUGAAGCAAUUCUAAGCCCGCGAGCCUGAAUAAGGCAGGAUUUGGUGAAAUUCCAAAGCCGACAGUAUAGUCUGGAUGGGAGAAGGACAUA